UACGAAGGGGGCUAGCGUUGUUCGGAAUCACUGGGCGUAAAGCGCACGUAGGCGGAUCGUUAAGUCGGGGGUGAAAUCCCAGGGCUCAACCCUGGAACUGCCUUCGAUACUGGCGAGCUUCGAGUCCGGGAGAGGUGAGUGGAACUCCGAGUGUAGAGGUGAAAUUCGUAGAUAUUCGCAAGAACACCAGUGGCGAAGGCGGCUCACUGGCCCGUAACUGACGCUGAGGCACGAAAGCGCGGGGAGCAAACAGG
Molecule: ribosomal RNA, 254 nt
Filed under: uncultured bacterium
Lineage: Bacteria
Description: partial 16S ribosomal RNA
Rfam family: Bacterial small subunit ribosomal RNA
Source: RNAcentral